Molecule: long non-coding RNA, 671 nt
Organism: Dipodomys spectabilis (banner-tailed kangaroo rat)
Lineage: Eukaryota; Metazoa; Chordata; Mammalia; Rodentia; Heteromyidae
Exons: 2
Source: RefSeq, a predicted model, not a curated record
CAAUACAGGUGACCCUCAAAAAAACAUCAUGGUAAAUAAAGCAAGGCAAACACAGAAGACUUCAUACUUUAUGGUUCUAUAAAGAUGAAACCAUAAAUAUAAAUGUCCAGGGACCUAAACUAUAAAGACAGAAUUAGGGCUGGGAAGAAUAGUGAUGGCCUAUUACUGAGGGGUAAGAAGGGGGUUUAACUCUUAACUGUUCUAUGCCUCAAUUUUCUCAUCUGACAGUGAUAAGUGUCUGUUUUAUAAGGCUUCUUUUAAAGAUCAAAUGAGAUAAUACAGAUAAGAGUGAUGUACUCUCUACAGAAAGGACUAGGGCUUUGUAAUUUAGUACAUGUGUGUUACAACACAUUUCUUGCUAGGUUCACUCAGCCUAAAAAUCGGGGAAAUAAAUUUCUUCCCAAGCUAAUACAAAGUUUUUUUAAAAUAAAUAAAACUAGAAUGUUACUGUAAUAUGCAUGUACUAACUUACAAACAGAGGAAUACAUAUGCAUAUAGUUAAAGUUUUUGCAACAAACAAUUUCACCCUAGGCCUGUUUCUUAAUCAACGCAGACAGCUUAAAAUACUUGGGGAAAAAAAUUCAAGAUACACACAUGAAGUGUAAGCCCCAAAGAAAAUAAACUAAGUUAACCUUAUUUCUCUAACAUCUGGAGUCAUAGGGAAAUGAAGA